Molecule: microRNA precursor, 79 nt
Filed under: Picea abies (Norway spruce)
Lineage: Eukaryota; Viridiplantae; Streptophyta; Pinopsida; Pinales; Pinaceae
Description: miR11570a stem-loop (pab-MIR11570a)
Source: miRBase by way of RNAcentral
CAUUGUGUCAAAUUAUUCAAGCAAUUUACAGCAAUGCUAGAUCGGCGUUGUACAUUGCUUGAGUAACUUGAACACUAUG